Molecule: long non-coding RNA, 2525 nt
Organism: Esox lucius (northern pike)
Lineage: Eukaryota; Metazoa; Chordata; Actinopteri; Esociformes; Esocidae
Source: Ensembl
AAAAAGUCCAUAAUGUUGAAGUGAAAAAUAGACAUUGUUUUAAAUUAUUAAAAAAAUAAAACAGAAAAUAUUUGAUUGCCGGAGUAUUUAACCCAUUUAGUCAAUAUUUCGUACUGAAGAGGCACCUUUGGUAGCCAUGAGUCUACUUAAAAGGAACCCUGACUAUUAAGAUACAUAAGCCAAUAUGCUACAAUUGCUCUCUCCAGAAAAACAUAGUUAGAAAUACAUAUUAGCAUAUUAGGUUGAGGUAGCUAAGUAUGUGUGCCAUUGGUCCAGUUUAUGUUCUUUACCUUAUAUGUGUAAAUGCAGCAUCUUGCCCUUCGUGGUUUCUGUCUUGAAUUCCCCCUGCCCGGACUGUGUGUAUGUGUUGUUAAUUCUGUCCCCCUCUGUUUCCUGUUAGUCUGACACACAAGCUCAGUCUGCUCUCCUUACCCAGGAACAGCCUAAAUAAGAUUUCCUGUUUUCUACUUGCAACUUUCAGUUUCAGCUUAUAUAAGAUAGCAAAAAAUAUAAGCACGGCUUCUUUUUCCAGCCCUAAGCUGUCGUCUAUAGGUGCGUCCUGCUGGCGGGGAUGAAACGUUUGCCGCCGAAUACGUCACUCCCAUUUCUUGCGAGAUGCCGCCCGCGAACAGCCGGCGGUCUGACUGCUUCAUUUUCUUUGGCGGUUGCCUCGGUCUGAUGGACCGCGGUCGUCCGGCGGCAAGACGCUUUUAAAUACAAGGCUACUCUCAAAAUCAACCGGCCAUGUUUGUUUGGACACAUUCGCAUCAGUUCGUCGCUCAAUCGCGAGUUACUACAGCCUGCAGUUUGCUAGCUAGCAAAGUCAUCGACUACCAUCGUUUAAAUACCUUGGCCAGAGCAUAACCGGUUAUCUUCACCCAAGAGACCUACUGUUGGUCAAUCGUUUUGGCUUUAAAGGUAAAUGUAUUGUUAAUCACAAUGUCUAGUUACUGGGCCAAAAGGAAAAUAAUAUUGAAAAGAGUUGAGAGGGAAAAACAGGACAUUCACUUGAAUCACUACAUGCUACAGAAGUUGCAUCGAUUCCAGAAAACCAGGAAAAUGUUGAGCCAUCUGUAGACUUCAGAGCUGAACCAGGUUUCUCCCCAGUAAUCCAGACUCCACUUCACAGAGCCAAGAGUUUGAGUACAACUCGUCAAGUACUAAGCUUUACACCACCAGCAGCAAAUUUACCCUGGCAGCAUAUGGGCGAAAACGCUGGAGGAGAAAGUCAUCGCUUUGUUAUUGGCCCUUGGACGCCCCUGGCAUCUCGUGUACAGCACAAAGUUUUCAGCUAUGAAGAUUUCCAGUGACUCCAGAAUGAAAACCAAGCUCUGAGGGAGAAGAACCAAGCCCUGAGGGAAUGCAAUGCACAAGCAGCUUCGGAUGACAGCGGCUCACUUCAAGAGCAGGUGAAGCAAGUAGGGACUAUGUUGAAGACGUUUGCUCUCACUGGGCAAUCAGGUGCGUUACCUGAAAGGAGCAUCUGACCGUGAAGGCAGAAAAAGCCACACAGCUGAGAAGGACCCACAGCCGACCCCUUAAACCUAGGCUGACUACUGACACCCCAGCAUCACUGAACUGGAACACUUUCUUUAUCCUGCAGUCAGUAACCUCAAGAAGCCAGAAGUGCCAGACUACCAAAUCCACCCUUUGUAUUUUAACUUUAGUAUUGGCUUAUUUCAUUCCGUCUUAACAAUUCUAUUAUAGUUUGUAAAUCCUAUUUUCAUACCUGUUACUUGAUAUUGCACAUUAACUAGUACCAAAAUUCGACUUUCAUUUCAUCACUGUGCUUAACUGUUAUUCUAUUAAUAAUAGCUUGGAAAUACUAUUUCGUACCUCUGAUACUUGAUAUUGCACAUUACCUGGUACCAAAUAUUCUACUUACUGUUUUUAACAUCAGCAUUUUUCAUUCCAUCACAGUGCUUAACUGUUAUUCUAUUGUUAAAUAUAGCUUGUAAAUCCUUGUGCCACAGGUCAGCAUUGCAGUUAUAAUGGUCUGUUCUACUACUGUUUUUACCUCCGUAUUUUAAUAUAAAUAUAUAUGUCAAGUUUUGUUUAUCACAGAUACAAGAGACACAGAUCUUUUUGCAGCACGGUGUAAAUCUUGUGCUCCAGGUCAGCAAUGCCAUUAUAGCGGUCUAUUCUACUCUAGAGCUUUACUCUAAAUUAUUACCACUUUUCCUAUUGUUAGAAAUGGCUUGAAAAUGUGAUGUUAUACCUCGAUUUAUUUGAUAUCCUGCACAUUCUUUGGUACCAAAUAUCCUCAUUACUUAUGUUUACUGGUAAUUAUUUUCACCCCAGAGCUGACCUCUUUAUAUUAUUAACAAUUAUUGUGUUUGUGUUAUAAUUUGCUUGUAUGGCUGUUUUUAUUUUAACCAAAAUUUAAUUGGAAACCUGCAUGUUCUGUAGUGUGUAUUAAUAUGUAUAUUUUUUUCUGCCUGUUCUUUAUUUCAGUGAUCUGACACAUCUUGUUUGAAUGACAGUUACUGUACUUUGAAAUGUGGAAUUAAAACACCAAAUGGAAA